Molecule: unclassified non-coding RNA, 134 nt
Organism: Chelonoidis abingdonii (Abingdon island giant tortoise)
Lineage: Eukaryota; Metazoa; Chordata; Testudines; Testudinidae
Source: Ensembl
AUGAAAACCUUGAAGACUGAAGUCCACUGUUCACCCACAGAACAGAUACAGCCCAGGCACCAGAAGCAUAUCGUCUCACCCUAGAUUAGAGAGCAGUAUCUCUAGUUUCCAUGUUCUUUCAAUUGCGGCCAUUU